Molecule: ribosomal RNA, 397 nt
Filed under: uncultured bacterium
Lineage: Bacteria
Description: bacterial SSU rRNA
Rfam family: Bacterial small subunit ribosomal RNA
Source: RNAcentral
AUUGAACGCUGGCGGCAUGCCUUACACAUGCAAGUCGAACGGCAGCGGACCUUCGGGUGCCGGCGAGUGGCGAACGGGUGAGUAAUAUAUCGGAACGUACCUUUCAGUGGGGGAGUAACGUAGCGAAAGUUACGCUAAUACCGCAUAUUCUGUGAGCAGGAAAGCAGGGGAUCGCAAGACCUUGCGCUGAUUGAGCGGCCGAUAUCAGAUUAGCUAGUUGGUGAGGUAAAGGCUCACCAAGGCGACGAUCUGUAGCGGGUCUGAGAGGAUGAUCCGCCACACUGGAACUGAGACACGGUCCAGACUCCUACGGGAGGCAGCAGUGGGGAAUUUUGGACAAUGGGCGCAAGCCUGAUCCAGCCAUGCCGCGUGAGUGAAGAAGGCCUCGGUUGUAAGA